GGUUUUUUGUUUUGUUUGGGUUUGUUUCUGGAUGCCAGGGAAAACCUGGACCUGUCUCUGAACC
MicroRNA precursor from Bos grunniens (domestic yak), 64 nucleotides. NCBI's taxonomy places the organism in Eukaryota, Metazoa, Chordata, Mammalia, Artiodactyla, Bovidae. The record is from Ensembl.